Molecule: small nucleolar RNA, 136 nt
Filed under: Theobroma cacao (cacao)
Lineage: Eukaryota; Viridiplantae; Streptophyta; Magnoliopsida; Malvales; Malvaceae
Description: Small nucleolar RNA snoR111
Rfam family: Small nucleolar RNA snoR111
Source: Rfam by way of RNAcentral
AUAAGAAUGUGAGGAGGAAGUUUAUUAGAGUGUCUCUUCAUUGAGGAAGAACAUUGAGGUAUAUUGGAAUCAAAGGCCAAGAUAUCAUUUCGGCUGUCAUUUUCAUAGAUUGAUGAUCUAUGUUGCUCGUCCACAU